UAACACGUGGAUCAUCUGCCUCUUAGUGGGGAAUAACUCUGGGAAACCGGAGCUAAUACCGCAUAAGCCUGGAAAGGGAAAGUCGCAUCAUAAUAAAUGUGACGCUGAGAGAGGAGUCCGCGGCCGAUUAGCUAGUUGGCAGGGUAAAAGCCUACCAAGGCAUUGAUCGGUAGCCGGCCUGAGAGGGCACACGGCCACACUGGCACUGAAACACGGGCCAG
Molecule: ribosomal RNA, 221 nt
Filed under: uncultured bacterium
Lineage: Bacteria
Description: partial 16S ribosomal RNA
Rfam family: Bacterial small subunit ribosomal RNA
Source: RNAcentral